Non-coding RNA from Tephrocybe rancida, 98 nucleotides. The record is from the annotation of a GenBank genome assembly. NCBI's taxonomy places the organism in Eukaryota, Fungi, Basidiomycota, Agaricomycetes, Agaricales, Lyophyllaceae.
GGGCACAUGGUGUAGUUGGUUAUCACGCCCGCUUAGCAUCCAUCCAAUGUUACAAUGUUAUCUGCGGGCGGUCCCCGGUUCAAUUCCGGGUGUGUCCA